CGGAGGGUGCAAGCGUUAUCCGGAUUCACUGGGUUUAAAGGGUGCGUAGGUGGGUUAGUAAGUCAGUGGUGAAAUCCCCGAGCUUAACUUGGGAACUGCCAUUGAUACUAUUAAUCUUGAAUACCGUGGAGGUCAGCGGAAUAUGUCAUGUAGCGGUGAAAUGCUUAGAUAUGACAUAGAACACCAAUUGCGAAGGCAGCUGGCUACGCGAAUAAUUGACACUGAUGCACGAAAGCGUGGGGAUCAAACAGGAUUAGAUACCCUGGUAGUCCACGCCCUAAACUAUGGAUACUCGACAUCAGCGAUACACUGUGGUGUCUGAGCGAAAGCAUUAAGUAUCCCACCUGGGAAGUACGAUCGCAAGAUU
RNAcentral lists this ribosomal RNA (367 nucleotides) under uncultured organism. Its description in RNAcentral is "bacterial SSU rRNA". It matches the Rfam family "Bacterial small subunit ribosomal RNA", at positions 526 to 895 of the family's 1533-position model. The record is from RNAcentral.